RNAcentral lists this long non-coding RNA (463 nucleotides) under Amborella trichopoda. RNAcentral's name for it is "long non-coding RNA (ATRI_LNC002885)". Lineage: Eukaryota; Viridiplantae; Streptophyta; Magnoliopsida; Amborellales; Amborellaceae. The record is from RNAcentral.
UCCAACAUGUGAGGCCUCAAUAAGGUGAUUGCAGGUGCCAGAUCUAGCUAUAGAUAACCCGACUUGACUGAAAAAAUUGUACGAAAACCAAAGUCCAUUGGGACAGCCACCUAAACUUGAACCAACCGGAGCCCUAAAAGAGCCAUACAUCAAAAACCAGGCCACCCGACAGAGUCUAGAACAACCCCAAGCAACACCAAGGGCACAGAAAAUCCGAAAUAAUCAGUCUGGAUUCAAGAACUACCAGUUUAAGAACAACUACAUGGCAAAUUACGUCGACUGCAUUGAGAACCUCACCAAUACGAGUACCAACCGUGUUCCGGCAAGUGACAAAUGCGGAAGACAAUGGUGGCAACCCCGUUGACGCUUUUGACAGCAACAACUUCUGAUCGACUUAGAAUGCACAAAAAUUUCCAUCAUUACCUGCGAUGGUGUCAAGCUCUAUGCUCUAUGGACAAUAACA